CUGGGAGAGGGAGAAGCAGGCUCCCUGCAGGGAGCCUGAUGCAGGACUCCAUCCCAGUGAUGCAGGAAUGAGUUAGGGACAGACGGGGCUAGGCAGGAAAAGAUAAGGGAAAGGCCCAGAGUUGGGCUCCCAUAAAUCCCAAGGACACCAAACAGUCCAGAGACAGGCUCCUACCCUUCCCAAGAAAACAGAGAUAAGACAACAAAAACAGAGAAGAAAAUAAAUUAGGCUCCCUAACUCCAAAGUAUCUCCCUUUGACGUUUUCCAAACAAUCCCAAAGAUUCAACAGACCCCAAAACAGUCAUAUGUCAAACACUUGAGACAGCACAAAGAAGUCUCAAGGCCUUGGGUUCCCUGGUUAGGUUCCCAAUAACAGGCCAGUCAAAAAGCCCGCAGUGGCAACCCUGUUGGGACCCCUCUCACUUCUGAGAACUUUCUCUGUACCUUUGCUUAAUAAACUUCUAUUGCUUUACUCACUCUCCUGUGAGAGUAAGUAAAGUGAAGAAAAUAAAUAAAUAAAUAAAUAAAUUUAUAAAUAAAUAAGUGAGUAAAAUUCUAAAGGAAUUUUUAUACGUCAAAGUAGACUUACAGGAUUCUGGGCUAAGAUUGCCUUUUGCCCUUAGCAAAGUAUUAACUUCGGGGCAGUUGAGUCCUUAGAAGAAUCUCACUCCACUUGUUUCAAGAUCUUGUCAAUGGGCUGUAGGUAGUAAGGAAAUUUAAUAAUUUUUCUUCUGCCUUUGUUUCCCACAUCACAGGGACAGGACCCAUGGGCAGAAAGAACUGCACUGGGGUCAUGAGGAGUGGCCCAUUAUAUAUGUUGAAGUUGGGAGGGGGUUGGGGACAGCCUAAGUCUCUAAGGAAUUUGGAACCAAGGUCUCCAGGACCUUCAGGGGGCUAACUAUUGUUGGGAAAAGAGAAUUUAUUACCAUCUAAUAAAACCUUAGUCAUGAGACCCUUCAGAUGUAUAUCGGUGGGCCAUAUGCUUGGGGGUUGAUUGUCAACAUAUAUGCCAACAUAUAUCUAUCAGCAGAAAGGGAGUAUAGAGAUAAAGGAAGUGUCCAAAGGAAUUUUUAUAUGUCAAAGUAGAUUUACAGGAUCCUGGGGGUUGGACUAAAAGUGCCUUUUGCCCUUAGCAAAGUAUUAACAUCCAGGCAGUUGAGUCCCUAGAGGAAUGUCACCCUGCCUGUUUCAAGGACUCGUCAAUGGGCUGUAGGUAGUGAGGAAAUUUAAUAAUUUUACUUUUGCCUUUGUUUCCCCCAUCAGAUCUUAAGCCCCACCACACACACAGUUAAAAAGAAACUGCAGACGUACGAUGUAGCCACUUAAGGCCCCAAAUCAACAAACUACUUAAUACCUGACUUACCUACAGUUUCAAAUCCCCCCGCCUCCCAUAAAACCUUUAAUCAGUCAACAUGGAAUUUCCCUGGCCAUACUAUGAAAUUUAUUGCUACACCCCCUUCUGCUCCCCUUAGGAAAGUGGCCUUGUCUAAACAAUGCAUUCCUUGCUAAUAAAUUCCUUUCUUUGUGCCCUUUCUUUGCCUUUAAAAACUUCCCUUUCAUUUAACUCAGCAGAAAACCCCACUUCUUGCUAUUUGGGAUGCUGCCAGAGUUACAAAUCACUUAAUAAAGCCAAUUAGAUCUCCAAUUUACUCCUUUUGUUGUGGGAAACAAAGCUGGAAGGAAAGUAGAUAAAAUGUCCUUAUAACCUGCAUCCCAUUGACAAAUACUUGAUGUAGGCAGAUUAUAACAUUCCGCUUUGAAGCACCCAACUGCUUUGCUAGAGGGAAAAAACAACUUUAGUUUGACAAUAGCAAGACCAAAGUCCUUCUGGAACUUCCUUUUGUCUUUACCUCUCCAACUCAAAGUAUAUAAUCAGUUCCCCUCACAAUUCUGGGUUAGCAGCUCUUUCUGCCCAGAGGUCCUGUCCCUGUACUUUAAAAAAUUGCCUUUUUGCACACCAUAAGACAUCUCAAGAAUUCUUCCUUGGCUGUUCGCUCCAGACCCCAAAAACAACCCUACUCCAAAAAACUAUCUCAAUUUGAACUUUGUUUUUUACAACACACACACACACACACACACACACACACACACACACCAUGAGGUGAUGUAGCAUUAAUUAAUUAACCUGGAAAUCCAUGUAUGCCUUAAAGCCUGGAUUGCAGUACUCUUUCCCAUUGCAAAACUCUUGAUGCACUUCUUUAUUUGAAUAGCUUUACUGAGAUGUAAGGCACAUGCUGCACCCCCCCCCCAUUAAAGUGUAGACUUCAGUAGUUCUAAAAAAAUUCGCAGUUCUAUGCAAUCACCACAAUUUUGAACAUUUUCAUCACCUCAAAAAAACUAUCCUGUCAGUUUGUUUUUCAUACCAUCAACACGAUUUUAUAUUCUCAGCAAAAGUGCCACAAGGGCUUCAAAGUGUGUUUUCACUUUCUUGAUGGCAUCCUUCAAUGCCCAAAAGUCACUGAUUUGAUGAAGUCCAAAUUACCUAUUUUUUUCCCAUUCUUGCUCUUGGUGUCUUAGCUACCAAUUCUUUGCCAAAUACAAGUCAAGAAUUGUUCUCUAUGUUUAUCUAAAUGUUAUAAUUUACUCUUAUGUUUAAGUGUUUAUCCUUUCUGGUAAAUCCAUUGUAUGUGGUACCCUGUAAGGAUAAACCUCUCUCUUUAGCAUAUGGCUAUUCAGUUGGCCUAGUAGAAAUUUAUGAAAAGAGCAUUCUUGCACUAUUCUUGGCUUUUUUUUUUCUUUCAAAAAAUCAAUUAAGGGGUGCCUGGGUUAGCAGCUCUUUCUGCCCAGUGUCUGUCUUCCUCGUAUAAGGGUCAUUAUCUCAGGGUCCU
This 2828-nucleotide long non-coding RNA is filed under the name Canis lupus familiaris (dog). RNAcentral's name for it is "lncRNA (ENSCAFG00000056288.1)". The record is from RNAcentral. Lineage: Eukaryota; Metazoa; Chordata; Mammalia; Carnivora; Canidae.